CCCCUAGACGUUCUGGGCUGCACGCGCGCUACAAUAAUACGCACAGCGAGUAUCACCGAGCUCGAAAGGGCAAGGUAAACAAUAGAAAAGGUACUGUAAUGGUUAUAAAUCCUUGUAAUUAUUGAUCUUCAACGAGGAAUUCCUAGUAAGUAUGUGUCAUCAUCACGCACUGAUUACGUCCCUGCCCUUUGUACACACCGCCCGUCGCUCCUACCGAUUGAGUGGUCCGGUGAGGCUUUGGGAUCUGAGCGGAAAGAGCGUUUCGCUGUUUCUGCUCGGAAAACUCAGUCGAACCUUAUCAUUUAGAGGAAGGAGAAGUCGUAACA
RNAcentral lists this ribosomal RNA (326 nucleotides) under uncultured eukaryote. Its description in RNAcentral is "partial 18S ribosomal RNA". It matches the Rfam family "Eukaryotic small subunit ribosomal RNA", at positions 1470 to 1796 of the family's 1831-position model. The record is from RNAcentral.